UGACCUUCCUCAAGUUUUUUCUUUCAAAUUAUAAUGUAUCCCAUAAUAUAAUGUUAGUUUAAACAAUACGGUCACGAAAGGUAUACGAAAUCGAUCCACAUAGAACAUUUAAUCAUUUUUAAUCUUUUGUUGAGAGUUUUUAGUCUUCCAUGUACUAUAAGUGACCUAAAAAUUUGUGAUGUAAUGUAUACAAAAUAUAUGCUGUUAUUAAUUAUUUUUUGAUUGUUUUUAUAUUCCGUUUUGUAAAAAAGUUAAGCGCUUGUGCAUUAUAAACUAGACGUUCUUAGUAUUGACUUUAAAGUUAUUAGUCUUAAACAUGGAAUGUGUUCUAUUGUCGGUUUUUUGAUUUCUAAUAUUGUUAGUGCGUUUGGUGACCUUCCUCAAGUUUUGUCUUUCAAAUAAUAAUGUAUCCCAUAAUAUAAUGUUAGUUUAAACAUUACGGUCACGAAAGGUAAACGAAAUCGAUCCACAUAGAAUAGUUAAUCAUUUUUAAUCACUUGUUGGGAGUUUUUAGUCUUCCUUGUACUAUAAGUGACCUAAACAUUUGUGAUGUAAUGUAUACAAAAUAUAUGCUGUUAUUAAUUAUUUUUUGAUUGUUUUUAUAUUCCGUUUUGUAAAAAAGUUAAGCGCUUGUGCAUUAUAAACUAGACGUUCUUCGUAUUGACUUUAAAGUUAUAAAUCUUAAACAAACUUUUAACGUUAAUAAUAACUCUCGCAAAUGAAUUUCCAUGGAAUGUGUUCUAUUGUCUAUUGUCGGUUUUUUGAUUUCUAAUAUUGUUAGUGCGUUUGGUGACCUUCCUCAAGUUUUGUCUUUCAAAUAAUAAUGUAUCCCAUAAUAUAAUGUUAGUUUAAACAAUACGGUCACGAAAGGAAAACGAUAUCGAUCCUCAUAGAAUAGUUAAUCAUUUUUAAUCACUUGUUGGGAACUUUUAAUCUUCCCUGUAUUAUAAGAGACCUAAAUAUUUGUGAUGUAAUGUAUACAAAGAUAUAUGCUGUUAUUAAUUAUUUUUUGAUUGUUAUUAUAUACCGUUUUGUAAAAAAGUUAAGCGCUUGUGCAUUAUAAACUAGACGUUCUUCGUAUUGACUUUAAAGUUAUAAAUCUUAAACAAACUUUUAACGUUAAUA
This is a non-coding RNA of Cinara cedri, 1125 nucleotides long. The record is from the annotation of a GenBank genome assembly. Lineage: Eukaryota; Metazoa; Arthropoda; Insecta; Hemiptera; Aphididae.